GCGAACACGCGCGCACACACGCGCGCUAAAAAGUAAAAACACUCUUUCAACUUUAAACAAAAAAGUAAGGCCAAAACCCGUGACCUCUAGAGUAGAGCAAAAUAAGUAACCCAUUCAAAGACCAGCCACCAUCCCCCGCGUCUCUCUCACAGCUCCUCCAAGAACAGUGUGAGUAGCAGCAGAAGCUUCUUGUUCAGUCACACCAGCAUCGGACGACAGCAGCAACAGCGUAACCCCUGCCACCGUGACCUCCUAGCACCAGUUGCGGCAGCAUCUCCUCUCUGCAUCAUGUGCUUUCCUCAUCGACGACAAUCGUUGAUUCCUUCACCGCCAACGCAACACCUGAAACCAGCAGCAACUAUCCUCUUCCAUGGUCGAUGACAAAUGCAGCUCCACCAAACACUCAGAUAGAUUCCACUAGUGCCUGCAGCAAGAAAUUGACUCUUGGAAGGAUGAGAUCCCAUUAGAGUCACUUCCUGUAUGCAUGAAGCUUCAUAAUUCUGAUGUUUGAGAUUCACAGCACAAGCCAGUAGCUGCAUCCUUGUAGAGCAGAUACUUCAAGGAUUAAUGAAUCAAAUGGCACCAUUCAAAUUUUGGUGGUAUAGUGAUCAUUCUUCACCAUUUCUCUCUUACAAAUCUAUCACUAGUGGAUCUAAAAGUGCUGCAAAUCCACGAGAUUACUCCUUCACAGUCUAUUGCCUCAUAAAUACAUGUGGGUUUCCAUUAAAUCUGCGUCUUCAGCUUCUAGAUAUCUCCGCUGGAAUGGCUUGAAAAACCUGACUGUCGUUAACCUGUUCACGUCCCAUGGUUUCUCCUGAGAUGCUUCAGGUCAAGGUCAUGCAAGUGUUAUUUAACAACCCUCGUAUCUUGAACAGAAGCUUGGAAGAACAUGUAAUCCCUAAAUAUACAUCCAAUAAGAGGAUUGUUCCUAGAGAGCAUGUCCACAGCUUGUGAUAAUAUCUUCAACAGCUUCUGAAACUAUUAAACAUGCGAAGCUCUUGCAAUCAAAUCCUUCCUAACAAACCCUUUCUGAACUUACAAUGUCUCAACAUCUUUCUUGCAUCAA
Long non-coding RNA from Populus nigra (black poplar), 1066 nucleotides. RefSeq lists it as uncharacterized. The transcript has 2 exons. NCBI's taxonomy places the organism in Eukaryota, Viridiplantae, Streptophyta, Magnoliopsida, Malpighiales, Salicaceae. The record is from RefSeq and is a predicted model, not a curated record.